UACAGAGGGUGCAAGCGUUAAUCGGCAUUACUGGGCGUACAGCGUGCGUAGACGGUUAUGUAAGUCAGCUGUGAAAGCCCCGGGCUCAACCUGGGAAUUGCAUUUGAGGCUGUGUAGCUAGGGUGCGGAAGAGGGAAGCGGAAUUUCCGGUGUAGCGGUGAAAUGCGUAGAUAUCGGAAGGAACACCAGUGGCGAAAGCGGCUUCCUGGUCCAGCACCGACGUUCAGGCACGAAAGCGUGGGGAGCAAACAGG
This 253-nucleotide ribosomal RNA is filed under the name uncultured bacterium. RNAcentral's name for it is "partial 16S ribosomal RNA". It matches the Rfam family "Bacterial small subunit ribosomal RNA", at positions 524 to 776 of the family's 1533-position model. The record is from RNAcentral.